CAAGACAACUUUACGGAGUUGACGAUUGACGGAGCGAAGCGACGUCAAAGCGUUCAUUAAAGUCGAGUUGGCUUAGGGAUACGUUCGUUGGGUAGGGGAGCGUUCUGUAAGCCUGUGAAGGUGGCCUGUGAGGGUUGCUGGAGGUAUCAGAAGUGCGAAUGCUGACAUAAGUAACGAUAAUGCGGGUGAAAAACCCGCACGCCGGAAGACCAAGGGUUCCUGUCCAACGUUAAUCGGGGCAGGGUGAGUCGACCCCUAAGGCGAGGCCGAAAGGCGUAGUCGAUGGGAAACAGGUUAAUAUUCCUGUACUUGGUGUUACUGCGAAGGGGGGACGGAGAAGGCUAUGUUAGCCGGGCGACGGUUGUCCCGGUUUAAGCAUGUAGGCGGAGGUUCCAGGUAAAUCCGGUACCUUAUUAACGCUGAGGUGUGAUGACGAGGCACUACGGUGCUGAAG
RNAcentral lists this ribosomal RNA (454 nucleotides) under Salmonella enterica. RNAcentral describes it as "partial 23S ribosomal RNA". It matches the Rfam family "Bacterial large subunit ribosomal RNA", at positions 1163 to 1590 of the family's 2925-position model. Lineage: Bacteria; Pseudomonadati; Pseudomonadota; Gammaproteobacteria; Enterobacterales; Enterobacteriaceae. RNAcentral also lists the same sequence under 2 other names. The record is from RNAcentral.